RNAcentral lists this ribosomal RNA (382 nucleotides) under uncultured bacterium. RNAcentral's name for it is "bacterial SSU rRNA". It matches the Rfam family "Bacterial small subunit ribosomal RNA", at positions 30 to 412 of the family's 1533-position model. The record is from RNAcentral.
AUUGAACGCUGGCGGCAGGCCUAACACAUGCAAGUCGAGCGGUAGAGAGGUGCUUGCAUCUCUUGAGAGCGGCGGACGGGUGAGUAAUGCCUAGGAAUCUGCCUAGUGGUGGGGGAUAACGUUCGGAAACGGACGCUAAUACCGCAUACGUUCUACGGGAGAAAGCAGGGGACCUUCGGGCCUUGCGCUAUCAGAUGAGCCUAGGUCGGAUUAGCUAGUAGGUGAGGUAAUGGCUCACCUAGGCGACGAUCCGUAACUGGUCUGAGAGGAUGAUCAGUCACACUGGAACUGAGACACGGUCCAGACUCCUACGGGAGGCAGCAGUGGGGAAUAUUGGACAAUGGGCGAAAGCCUGAUCCAGCCAUGCCGUGUGUGUGAAGAA